GAUGAACGCUAGCGGCAGGCCUAACACAUGCAAGUCGAGGGGUAGAACACUUCGGUGUUUGAGACCGGCGCACGGGUGCGUAACGCGUAUGCAAUCUACCUUGUACAGGGGAAUAGCCCAGAGAAAUUUGGAUUAAUGCCCCAUAGUAUAUAACCUUCGCAUGUUGGUUAUAUUAAAGUUCCAACGGUACAAGAUGAGCAUGCGUCCCAUUAGUUAGUUGGUAAGGUAACGGCUUACCAAGACGAUGAUGGGUAGGGGUCCUGAGAGGGAGAUCCCCCACACUGGUACUGAGACCCGGACCAGACUCCUACGGGAGGCAGCAGUGAGGAAUAUUGGUCAAUGGUCGCAAGACUGAACCAGCCAUGCCGCGUGCAGGAAGACGGUCCUAUGGAUUGUAAACUGCUUUUAUACAGGAAGAAACCCUCCCACGUGUGGGAGCUUGACGGUACUGUAGGAAUAAGGAUCGGCUAACUCCGUGCCAGCCGCCGCGGUAA
Molecule: ribosomal RNA, 494 nt
Filed under: uncultured bacterium
Lineage: Bacteria
Description: partial 16S ribosomal RNA
Rfam family: Bacterial small subunit ribosomal RNA
Source: RNAcentral